Molecule: long non-coding RNA, 209 nt
Filed under: Gossypium raimondii (Peruvian cotton)
Lineage: Eukaryota; Viridiplantae; Streptophyta; Magnoliopsida; Malvales; Malvaceae
Description: long non-coding RNA (GRAI_LNC002923)
Source: RNAcentral
ACUUACCAGAUGAAAAAUGGCCACAAACGCAAGAGCGAUGAUUGACUGCGAAAAAUCCAACAGGAAACCGUGAAAAAUCGAAGAAGAAAAAUGAAGAAGAAAGUCGACGUAGGAAUUUUGGAGAGAAAGAGAGAAACAAAUUUUGAAAAGAAUAAAAUAAAAAAUAACAAAAAUAAUCCUAAUAACCCCCAAAUCCCCUAUAUUCUCUC